RNAcentral lists this ribosomal RNA (225 nucleotides) under Escherichia coli. RNAcentral's name for it is "partial 16S ribosomal RNA". It matches the Rfam family "Bacterial small subunit ribosomal RNA", at positions 1 to 222 of the family's 1533-position model. The record is from RNAcentral. Lineage: Bacteria; Pseudomonadati; Pseudomonadota; Gammaproteobacteria; Enterobacterales; Enterobacteriaceae.
AAAUUGAAGAGUUUGAUCAUGGCUCAGAUUGAACGCUGGCGGCAGGCCUAACACAUGCAAGUCGAACGGUAACAGGAAUCAGCUUGCUGAUUCGCUGACGAGUGGCGGACGGGUGAGUAAUGUCUGGGAAACUGCCUGAUGGAGGGGGAUAACUACUGGAAACGGUAGCUAAUACCGCAUAACGUCGCAAGACCAAAGAGGGGGACCCUCGGGCCUCUUGCCAUC